GCUUUUCAGUAGUUUACUACAGAAAAUGACUGAGCGGCGAACGGGUGAGUAACGCGUGAGCAAUCUACCUUAGUUACUGGGAUAGCCCGAGGAAACUCGGAUUAAUACCGGAUAUUCUUAUUUUUUCACAUGAAGUUUUAAGGAAAGGUCAGCCGAACUAAGAUGAGCUCGCGUUCUAUCAGCUAGUUGGUGGGGUAAAAGCCUACCAAGGCUACGACGGAUAGCUGGUCUGAGAGGACGAUCAGCCACACUGGGACUGAGACACGGCCCAGACUCCUACGGGAGGCUGCAGCAGGGAAUAUUGCGCAAUGAGCGAAAGCUUGACGCAGCGACACCGCGUGUGGGAUGACGGUUCUAGGAUUGUAAACCACUUUCAGGAGGGAAGAAAAUGACGGUACCUCCACAAGAAGACCCGGCCAACUACGUGCCAGCAGCCGCGGUAAUACGUAGGGGUCAAGCGUUGUCCGGAUUUAUUGGGCGUAAAGAGCUCGUAGGCGGUUCAACAAGUCGGUCGUAAAAGUUUAGGGCUCAACCCUAAAAUGUCGAUCGAUACUGUUGUGACUAGGAUACGGUAGAGGUGAAUGGAAUUCCGAGUGUAGCGGUGAAAUGCGUAGAUAUUCGGAGGAACACCAAUUGCGAAGGCAGUUCACUGGACCGUGAUCGACGCUGAGGAGCGAAAGCUAGGGGAGCAAACAGGAUUAGAUACCCUGGUAGUCCUAGCUGUAAACGAUGGAUACUAGAUGUAGGAACUGGAUUGACGGUUUCUGUAUCGUAGCUAACGCGUUAAGUAUCCCGCCUGGGGAGUACGGUCGCAAGACUAAAACUCAAAGGAAUUGACGGGACCCCGCACAAGCGGCGGAGCAUGCGGCUUAAUUCGAUGAUACCCGUAGAACCUUACCUGGACUUGACAUAUAGGGAAAAGCUAAAGAAAUUUAGUGUGCGUAAGCGCCCUAUACAGGUGGUGCAUGGCUGUCGUCAGCUCGUGUCGU
This 989-nucleotide ribosomal RNA is filed under the name uncultured marine bacterium. Its description in RNAcentral is "bacterial SSU rRNA". It matches the Rfam family "Bacterial small subunit ribosomal RNA", at positions 66 to 1068 of the family's 1533-position model. The record is from RNAcentral.